This 253-nucleotide ribosomal RNA is filed under the name uncultured bacterium. RNAcentral describes it as "partial 16S ribosomal RNA". It matches the Rfam family "Bacterial small subunit ribosomal RNA", at positions 524 to 776 of the family's 1533-position model. The record is from RNAcentral.
UACAGAGGGUGCGAGCGUUGUUCGGAAUUAUUGGGCGUAAAGGGCGCGUAGGCGGUGCGGUAAGUCACCUGUGAAAUCUCCUGGCUCAACUGGGAGCUUGCAGGCGAAACUGCCGUGCUGGAGUGUGGGAGAGGUGAGUGGAAUUCCUGGUGUAGCGGUGAAAUGCGCAGAUAUCAGGAAGAACACCCGUGGCGAAGGCGGCUCUCUGGACCAGCACUGACACUGAAGCACGAAAGCGUGGGGAGCAAACAGG